GCGGUGAGCAUGUGGUUUAAUUCGAAGCAACGCGAAGAACCUUACCAGGUCUUGACAUCCCUGACAACCCGAGAGAUCGGGCGUUCCCCUUCGGGGGACAGGGUUGACAGGUGGUGCAUGGUUGUCGUCAGCUCGUGUCGUGAGAUGUUGGGUUAAGUCCCGCAACGAGCGCAACCCUCGACCUUAGUUGCCAGCAUUCAGUUGGGCACUCUAAGGUGACUGCCGGCUAAAAGUCGGAGGAAGUGGGGAUGACGUCAAAUCAUCAUGCCCCUUAUGACCUGGGCUACACACGUGCUACAAUGGGCGGUACAAAGGGUCGCGAACCCGCGAGGGGGAGCCAAUCCCAAAAAGCCGCUCUCAGUUCGGAUUGCAGGCUGCAACUCGCCUGCAUGAGGCCGGAAUCGCUAGUAAUCGCGGAUCAGCAUGCCGCGGUGAAUACGUUCCCGGGCCUU
Molecule: ribosomal RNA, 452 nt
Filed under: uncultured Anoxybacillus sp.
Lineage: Bacteria; Bacillati; Bacillota; Bacilli; Caryophanales; Anoxybacillaceae
Description: bacterial SSU rRNA
Rfam family: Bacterial small subunit ribosomal RNA
Source: RNAcentral